UGGUGCUUGCACCGAGCGGAUGAGUUGCGAACGGGUGAGUAACGCGUAGGUAACCUGCCUCUUAGCGGGGGAUAACUAUUGGAAACGAUAGCUAAUACCGCAUAAAAGUCGAUAUCGCAUGAUAUUGAUUUGAAAGAUGCAAUUGCAUCACUAAGAGAUGGACCUGCGUUGUAUUAGCUAGUUGGUGAGGUAACGGCUCACCAAGGCGACGAUACAUAGCCGACCUGAGAGGGUGAUCGGUCCACACUGGGACUGAGACACGGCCCAGACUCCUACGGGAGGCAGCAGUAGGGAAUCUUCGGCAAUGGGGGCAACCCUGACCGAGCAACGCCGCGUGAGUGAAGAAGGUUUUCGGAUCGUAAAGCUCUGUUGUAAGAGAAGAACGAGUGUGAGAGUGGAAAGUUCACACUGUGACGGUAACUUACCAGAAAGGGACGGCUAACUACGUGCCAGCAGCCGCGGUAAUACGUAGGUCCCGAGCGUUAUCCGGAUUUAUUGGGCGUAAAGCGAGCGCAGGCGGUUAGAUAAGUCUGAAGUUAAAGGCUGUGGCUUAAC
This 555-nucleotide ribosomal RNA is filed under the name uncultured Streptococcus sp. Its description in RNAcentral is "bacterial SSU rRNA". It matches the Rfam family "Bacterial small subunit ribosomal RNA", at positions 74 to 613 of the family's 1533-position model. Lineage: Bacteria; Bacillati; Bacillota; Bacilli; Lactobacillales; Streptococcaceae. The record is from RNAcentral.